CAACUUCCUAACAAAUUUAUAUUGUCAUUCAACAUCACUGCAAGUUUGUAUUGUACAUAAAUUUCAAACUAUCGGGUAUAUAAAAAGAAACUAGUUUUCUCCUUUGUACAUAUUUACAAGACAAUGUGUAAAUUCAUCAUAUUACAAGACUUGAGUUAUUAACAUAACCUAAAAUAGAAAAACAAGUUACCAAAUUUAAGUUACAAGAUUUGUGCAUAUGCAAAUGUGAUCUCCUUAAGUGCUCCCAAAAGACUACUUCAUAAUGGUCGUCUUCAGAUUUCAUCAUGUCCAUUACCUACGAUAGAAAACAACUAUCGCUAAGCAUAAAGCUUAGUGGCGUAUAAACUUUGGGGUUGGAGUCAUAAAAUUCUCCAAUUCCCCUUUUCUAUCAUAGUUAGCUCGAUUUAACAUAAUUUAAAAUAAGUGAACAAAUAUAUCAAACAUAUCAAAUAUCAAACUUUGAAGUGUUUCCAAAUAUCAAUAACAAUGUUCAAGAGUCGAGAAAGCGUAUACUAUCAAUCCAAGAGAGUUUACCAAAUAUCCAUUUUUCGCCCAAUAUGUACGUCAUGAAAAUAUUCCAGCAAACAAAAAGAGUAAACAUUUUAUACACAAACCUUGGUGUUUUACCACAAAAUAGUUCAAUCACAACUUGGGGACGUUCGAAUCGUCUAUGCCGUAAACAAACCAAAUCCGUCCACUUCCUCAAACACUUUCCCUUUGAUUUUUUAAGGGUUUAUAUACCUUAAAUACAUAAUCAAAUAUCUAAAUAAGUUCAGUGAUUUAACAUGUCAAACUAAGCAUGAUAUUGGUGAAAAUUACACAAAAAUGUUUGAACCAGAAAAUCUGGACAGUAUCAUUGUUUCGUGUUAUGGCUCAGUUUUAAAGAUCUAAACGGACAAACUAGACUGUAUAUUCUUCAUAAAAGAUGUAGAUCUAUGUCUUAGAGUUUCAUAAUAUUUUGAAUCACCCCCAUAUCUAUUUUUUUUACAUAAAGUUAUGCUAAAAUUACUAACAGUAGUACAUGGAGUAUUUCUAAAACUGAAAAUCUGGGCAGCACCUGCCCUGUACUUUCUGUUCCCUUUUCGGAUAAAUACCGGCAAAACUAGAUGUUAGUUCUUUCAUAAGAGUUAUAGAUCUAUGAAAUACCUUUCCAUAAAGUCCUGGAUCACUUAAAUCGGAGCUCUGUAGAAAAAGAUAUGUAGAAAACACUAAUAUCUGUCUAGUGCAAAAAUGAGUUUAGAAACUUACCACAAAAGAGAAGAGCAACUUGAUCUUCACCAAAAAAGAAUUUUGCUGGUUGAUUUAGUAGAAAUUUAUGGUGGUUUCAUGAAAUGUUCAGAGGCUAAGAAGUAGAGAGGGUAGGUGGUUUUGUUUCUUUGUCUUGCAAGAAUUAAACAAGAGAGAAGGAUACGGAAAGGCAAGUCUUCCAAAGUAAUAUCUAAACUUUGGAUAAG
Molecule: long non-coding RNA, 1454 nt
Filed under: Nicotiana tabacum (common tobacco)
Lineage: Eukaryota; Viridiplantae; Streptophyta; Magnoliopsida; Solanales; Solanaceae
Description: long non-coding RNA (NTAB_LNC007363)
Source: RNAcentral